Molecule: long non-coding RNA, 2954 nt
Organism: Oncorhynchus tshawytscha (Chinook salmon)
Lineage: Eukaryota; Metazoa; Chordata; Actinopteri; Salmoniformes; Salmonidae
Source: Ensembl
GGCACGUAAUGAUAAAAUCGUCAACAUCCGAUUCAGGAGCGGGCAUGGCUUUUUGCAAUGUUACCCUUAUGAAGUGUUCCACUACUCAUCUGAAAUUGGGGAUUUGGACAAAACAUUUUUCAAAGGGUGGUAUCAUUUAUUUAAAUUUUUUCCCGUGAAGGACCGUCCGCUUGUCAGAGGAGAAACAGACCUACUUGACUCUGAUAUUAUCAAUGAAGCAGGCAGUGAUGGUGUGAUAUUGUUCAGGAUCUACCUGCCACCAGACUUUCCCCAUGUCCCGCAGCCACUAACCAUGGAGUUCUUUGGUCUCUUCAAGGCUGAGUUUUUCAGGGAUGCUUGUGACAUCCCCCCUCCUUAUAGGGACUUUGUCCUUAGGCACAUAGUUGCCACAGUGUUGAAGCAGAAAUAGGAUGCUUUUGAAACUGAGAGGACUGUGAAGGAUGGGUUCGGGAAGACAGGUAUCUUUCUAUUUGACUACCAUGUCAUGGCUAGGUCCGUAUGGUGUGGGAGGGAAAAGAUGAGGCCCGAGUUCGGUUCUGCUGGACCCUGUGAUGAUGGGCCAAAGAAAAAAUGACCCGAACUUGUGACAGACAAGGGUGACAGACAGUUCUUAUGACAAUAAGAAGGCAUUAAAGGUGGAAUCUGACGCCAAACCGGUGUUGCCUGGGUCGUUUCUGCCAGUUUCUCUGCCAUCAGAGUCUGUUAAGAAAGGAGAUAUUAGUAUUUUCCAAGAGAUCACAGCCAUGACUCCAUUGAGAGAUGGGAUGAGACUUCGGGCCCUGACGAUAUAUCGGAAGCGUCCCAGGAGUUAACAGAGGAAUCUUCAGACUUAUCAGACGGCCCUGAUGAAUCAAACAGAUUUAGAAUACGUUGACGAAGAAGAAGAGUUACCUGAAACUUCACAAGCUGUGAGAGGAAAAGCAUCUUCAAAGUCACUGCUGCCAGAGAAACAGUCACCUCAUGGUGAAACAUUUUUAAUUGCACUAUUGGGCCCAAUCUAAGUGUCUAACCACAGAAACACAGGUUAGAAUGGUCUUAUUUGAAUUUUUAGCUCAUCUAUGCCUUUACUACGGAGAUUUAAGUUGUGCUUCAAAUAUAGUUUUUUCAUGCUGACAAGAAGUGUGUAAACAAUACAUACAGGGCUCGACAUUAUGGCUUGUCCGCCUCUCUGGGGCAAUUUUUAAAAAACUGUCGGACAACCAGAAUAUGGAUUUCAGUUGUCCGAAUGGACAAAAAAAAUCACAAUAUCAAACCCUCUUAAUGCUUUUAAUUGUGAUCAGAAUUGGAAAAGGCAGCACACAUCAGGGCAGUGCAUGUUUGUUUGUGUUUUUCCCCCCACCUUCAUUUAACCAGGAAGGCCAGUUGAGAACAAGUUCUCAUUGACAACUGCGACCUUGCCAAGAUAAAGCAAAGCAGUGCGACAAAAACAACAACACAGAGUUACACAUAAACAAACAUACAGUCAACAACACAAAAGAAAAGAAAAAUAGAAAAUCUAUACAGUGUGUGCAAAUGUAGGGAGGUAGGCAAUAAAUAGGCCCUAGAGGCGAAAAUAAUUACAACUUAGCAUUAAUACGGGAGUGAUAGAUGAUGAUGUGCAAGUAGAGAUACUGGGGUGCAAGAGGGUAAGUAAUAAUAUGGGGAUUAGGUAGUCGGGUGUGCUAUUUCCAGAUUGGCUGUGUACAGGUACAGUGAUCGGUAAACUGCUCUGACAUUCUUACUAAAUUGCUUAUAUUCCUAUUUGCUAUAGCCUAUUUAAAUAAAUAUGUUAUAUUUACACAAGGCAAGAGAAGGAUGUAGAUACUAAGAGUCUCACCAAAGCAGCGCAGAAUAUCCGGUCAGAAAAUAUAUAUAUAUAUUUUUCGCUCUCUAGAAUGUUGGAUGAUCUGGGCCAAUAGCCAAAAUCUAUUUUUAUAGCGGACACUCUGGUGUUUUAUUGUUAUAGAAGCCCACAUUUUAUAUUUUCUCUCCAUUUUAUAUGAAUAUGACUUGGCCUGUUAAGCCACUCUUUCAGUUUAAGGCAUGCUAGACUUUUCCUGCCGCGCUAGUUCAUGAUCAAACAAGUUUGAAGUUGUUUUUGAAUAACCCAAAAACAUGGGAGCCCUAAGGUAAUAAUGAAAGGGAUAUAAGAAACAACAGCAAGUUAUAGAAAUCAAAUGAGACAUUUUUACAAACCGUAUAGUUGAGCAAAGCAUUAUAACACAAAUGAUGCAUGCAUGUGAGGCCGAGCAAAAGCCUAAUCCUACUAAUUAAAAUAUCAUAAAAUCAUUAAGACAAUUAAAAUGGAGUAUUUUCCAAACUAUUCUAAUACAGUGUUUAAUAUCCUAAAGUUGCAGCUUUAAAAUGGGAAUAAUAAUGAAAGUCCGAUUCUAUACUAUUCUCAAUCAGAUUUAUUUUGAAUUAGCAAUAUUUUAGGCCACAAGACGUGAAAUUGAGCAAACGAUACCAAGAUGGAAAAAUCGAAUGAGUCAAAAGAAAAGUUAGCCUACAGCUGACGAAAGUUUAUGAAAUAAAUUAUACGUAGUUACGCUAGGCCAAUUUUCAUAUUAUUCUGUCAAUGGGCAACCUACAACGCAUAUAGUAGCCGAGGCAACAAUGUGAAUAAAUUUAUAAUUAUCCAGUUCUGAGGACAGCACAAUUGUUCUGCAGCCCACGACAACCCAUAACACACACAACCAGCGAGGCUCGUUGACUGUGACUCACUCAUUCCAUCUGCGACCUCUUCAGCACACACACACACACACACACACACACACACACAGAGAUAGCCAAUGCAACCUGGUCUCAGAGCAUUUCGUAUCAUUCUGUACGUAAAUCCGAAACAUUUGAUUUAGUGUGAUAUGUUUCAUAUGGUAUGUAUGAACUUGUGAUUACAAUUCGUAUGAUAUGUUCCGAAUAGAAAUUCGUACAUUAUGUUACAUUCGUAUACAUUUUGCUAAAUUUGUGAAACGUAG